Non-coding RNA from Podarcis lilfordi (Lilford's wall lizard), 76 nucleotides. The record is from the annotation of a GenBank genome assembly. Lineage: Eukaryota; Metazoa; Chordata; Lepidosauria; Squamata; Lacertidae.
UGAGGGAUGGCUCAGUUGGUAGAGCAUGGGACUAUUAAGCUCAGGGUUGUGGGUUUGAGCCCCACAUAGAGCAAAA